UGAAAUAAUGUAUAAACAUGAGAAAUAUGUAUUGAUAUUGGUAUGCAUAAUUCACAAAGUGUUUCGUUAGGCUUUUUAUCUCUGAUGGGUUUUUAUUUCUCCUCCCAUUUGGUAUGAAAAGACGUGAGAUGACCGCUCCUUAUGGAUGAUGGCGUACUCUCUGGCGAGAGUGAUGAUGCUAUAUGAUUGUAGGGGUCACCUUUGGCGAAGAACGACCGUGGCCAUAGCUAACAUGUAGG
Molecule: long non-coding RNA, 239 nt
Filed under: Carica papaya (papaya)
Lineage: Eukaryota; Viridiplantae; Streptophyta; Magnoliopsida; Brassicales; Caricaceae
Description: long non-coding RNA (CPAP_LNC005328)
Source: RNAcentral